RNAcentral lists this ribosomal RNA (439 nucleotides) under uncultured bacterium. RNAcentral's name for it is "partial 16S ribosomal RNA". It matches the Rfam family "Bacterial small subunit ribosomal RNA", at positions 339 to 795 of the family's 1533-position model. The record is from RNAcentral.
CUACGGGGCGCAGCAGUGGGGAAUAUUGCACAAUGGAGGAAACUCUGAUGCAGCAACGCCGCGUGGAGGAUGACACUUUUCGGAGCGUAAACUCCUUUUAUAUAGGAAGAAGAUGACGGUACUAUAUGAAUAAGCGCCGGCUAACUCCGUGCCAGCAGCCGCGGUAAUACGGAGGGCGCAAGCGUUACUCGGGAUCACUGGGCGUAAAGAGCGUGUAGGCGGAUUAAAAAGUCAGAAGUGAAAUCCUAUAGCUUAACUAUAGAACUGCUUCUGAAACUCUUAAUCUAGAAUAUGGGAGAGGUAGAUGGAAUUUCUGGCGUAGGGGUAAAAUCCGUAGAGAUCAGAAGGAAUACCGAUUGCGAAGGCGAUCUACUAGAACAUUAUUGACGCUGAGACGCGAAAGCGUGGGGAGCAAACAGGAUUAGAUACCCCUGUAGUC